CCUCAUACAGGGGGAUAACAGUUAGAAAUGGCUGCUAAUACCGCAUAAGACCACAGCACCGCAUGGUGCAGGGGUAAAAACUCCGGUGGUAUGAGAUGGACCCGCGUCUGAUUAGCUAGUUGGUGGGGUAACGGCCUACCAAGGCGACGAUCAGUAGCCGACCUGAGAGGGUGACCGGCCACAUUGGGACUGAGACACGGCCCAAACUCCUACGGGAGGCAGCAGUGGGGAAUAUUGCACAAUGGGGGAAACCCUGAUGCAGCGACGCCGCGUGAGCGAAGAAGUAUUUCGGUAUGUAAAGCUCUAUCAGCAGGGAAGAAAAUGACGGUACCUGACUAAGAAGCCCCGGCUAACUACGUGCCAGCAGCCGCGGUAAUACGUAGGGGGCAAGCGUUAUCCGGAUUUACUGGGUGUAAAGGGAGCGUAGACGGCGAGGCAAGUCUGAUGUGAAAACCCGGGGCUCAACCCCGUGACUGCAUUGGAAACUGUUUUGCUUGAGUGCCGGAGAGGUAAGCGGAAUUCCUAGUGUAGCGGUGAAAUGCGUAGAUAUUAGGAGGAACACCAGUGGCGAAGGCGGCUUACUGGACGGCAACUGACGUUGAGGCUCGAAAGCGUGGGGAGCAAACAGGAUUAGAUACCCUGGUAGUCCACGCCGUAAACGAUAAAUACUAGGUGUCGGGGAGCAAAGCUCUUCGGUG
This 698-nucleotide ribosomal RNA is filed under the name uncultured bacterium. RNAcentral describes it as "bacterial SSU rRNA". It matches the Rfam family "Bacterial small subunit ribosomal RNA", at positions 129 to 845 of the family's 1533-position model. The record is from RNAcentral.